This 204-nucleotide long non-coding RNA is filed under the name Ricinus communis (castor bean). RNAcentral describes it as "long non-coding RNA (RCOM_LNC002297)". Lineage: Eukaryota; Viridiplantae; Streptophyta; Magnoliopsida; Malpighiales; Euphorbiaceae. The record is from RNAcentral.
AUAUGAUUCGACCUGAAUAAGGACACUUACAUAUAACUAAAAAGAUUAGGUUUAGGAGUUUCUCCACAUUAUUUAUCAUAUUUCUAGUAGGAUAGGUAUCUCUUUGGACCCUAUAUAAAGGGUUGUUGACAUCAAGUACAAAAUAUCUUAUGUAACUAGAUACUUUCAAUAAUCUCAAUUUUUUUACUAAUUUGGCCAUCAAAG